RNAcentral lists this ribosomal RNA (734 nucleotides) under uncultured bacterium. RNAcentral describes it as "bacterial SSU rRNA". It matches the Rfam family "Bacterial small subunit ribosomal RNA", at positions 584 to 1326 of the family's 1533-position model. The record is from RNAcentral.
UAAGUCAGUGGUGAAAUCUCCCCGCUCAACGGGGAAACGGCCAUUGAUACUGUAAGACUUGAAUUAUUAGGAAGUAACUAGAAUAUGUAGUGUAGCGGUGAAAUGCUUAGAGAUUACAUGGAAUACCAAUUGCGAAGGCAGGUUACUACUAAUGGAUUGACGCUGAUGGACGAAAGCGUGGGUAGCGAACAGGAUUAGAUACCCUGGUAGUCCACGCCGUAAACGAUGGAUACUAGCUGUUGGGAGCAAUCUCAGUGGCUAAGCGAAAGUGAUAAGUAUCCCACCUGGGGAGUACGUUCGCAAGAAUGAAACUCAAAGGAAUUGACGGGGGCCCGCACAAGCGGUGGAGCAUGUGGUUUAAUUCGAUGAUACGCGAGGAACCUUACCAAGGCUUAAAUGUAGAUUGACCGUUUUGGAAACAGAACUUUCGCAAGACAAUUUACAAGGUGCUGCAUGGUUGUCGUCAGCUCGUGCCGUGAGGUGUCAGGUUAAGUCCUAUAACGAGCGCAACCCCUGUUGUUAGUUGCCAGCGAGUCAUGUCGGGAACUCUAACGAGACUGCCAGUGCAAACUGUGAGGAAGGUGGGGAUGACGUCAAAUCAUCACGGCCCUUACGCCUUGGGCUACACACGUGCUACAAUGGCCGGUACAGAGAGCAGCCACUGGGUGACCAGGAGCGAAUCUACAAAACCGGUCACAGUUCGGAUCGGAGUCUGCAACUCGACUCCGUGAAGC